This 254-nucleotide unclassified non-coding RNA is filed under the name Hevea brasiliensis (rubber tree). Lineage: Eukaryota; Viridiplantae; Streptophyta; Magnoliopsida; Malpighiales; Euphorbiaceae. The record is from RNAcentral.
GCGCGGACCAUUGUUCAUUUCCACGGCCAGUUUAUCGAAGAUCAGGUUGCUGCACGCACAGUGCCGGGCCGACUGUUCAGCGCGAUUGCCAACCAAGCCGAUUGCGUCGUCGCGCUGGGUAAGGUCCAUGCAAGCGCCUUCGAGCGGAUCGGCGUUGAGCGCGAGCGGAUCGCGAUCGUUCCCAACGGAAUUCCGGAUUUCGCAGCCGAUCUUUCGCUGCCCAAGCAGGACACCGGCUCGCUGGCAAUCCUGUU